GUCCACUGCAGCCACAUGGGGAGGACACAGCCUGGUCCAGGACCUUUCCAUCAAUUUAAUUCCAAUAGAAUCCAGCCUCUUUCUUUGUAUGAUUUUGAAGGUAGAGUUGGUUUUGUCUUCUUGCUUACUGCCUCCUUUCGCUUGUUUAAAUAUUUACCUUACAUUUUCCCUACUCUGACUAGGGGAGACAUUUUGCUAACUUAAAAUAGUUGAGCGACAUUGUCCUCCACAGUCCCUUCUGGAGAUGUGAAUUUCCUUCAAACCUCUGAGAUUGGGGUUUAAGCCAUCUCUUCUGGAAUUCUCUCAUGGGGAGAUAAUUGAGUUCAACCGUUCCUUCAUACCAGGACCAGGUACCAGUUGUUAAAGAAUUAUGGAAAGCUAUUCCAGAGAACAUGUUGCCCACUUUUAGAUAUCUGCCUGAGCUCCACAGAUUCAGCCAGAGUCCAUUUAUACAAUGCUAAAUGAGAGUUUCCCACAUACAGGGAACUCUAACAUCUCCAGAUAAAUAGCUCUGCAAGGAGAAAAUGCAAAUUAUGACUUAAAGUCAGCCUCUACUUUUGUGCAGUGCAUACCAAUGUGGCUUUACCCUUUAGCUAGAGCAAUGGAGCUACUACUUCUUUUAUGCAGAUAGAUGCCCUGCAUGAGUUUGUUUCCUGAGACUGUUGGAAAAAUAAAUAGACUAUUAGCUACUUGGUUUCCUCUUUAGAAACCCAGCAGGCACAACAGGGAGAGACAUUAGUCUUUAAGCACCAGUUCUACGAAACAACCACACCAUAGAGCACUUGGAGCGGAACUGAAAAAGGUUAAAACAAGUCCAGAGAAAGGGUGUGGGCAGUCAGAUAGUUUAGCAGACGCUAAGCUUGUGCCAGGGACUUUUAUAAUCAAGGCUUUUGCAAUAGUGAUUUUGUAACAAGUAAAGAAUCCACACACAUGAGGAGGAAGUGUAAGAAAUCAAUUAAAACUUCAGAGAAUGAAACGUGGAAGGCAUAAAGCACCACACACUAAGAGACAAGGGGAAGAAUUAGUCACAGAAAUAAUCAUGAGGAAAGUGCAAUUGUGGGAUCAUACAAGCUGAGGAUGCCUAGAGGGAUCCCUGGAUGUCUGUGAGCUGUAAGGCUCAAGUGGAUUCCUGCAGUGCUCAGCAAGCCUCGCCAGGCCCCAUGUGCACAGGUGUGGGGGUCUUGCUCUGUCAUCCAAGCUGGAGUGCAGUGGUACAAUCACGGCUCACUGCAACCUGGACCUCCAGUGCUCAAGCAAUUCUCCCACCUAAGCCUCCUGAGUAGCCAGGACUACAGGUGUGUGCCACCACGCCCAGCUAAUUUUCUUUUAUUUAUUUAUUUAUUUAUUUAUUUAUUUAUUUAUUUAUAGAUAGGGACUCACUAUGUUGCCCAGGCUGGUCUCAAACUCCUGGGCACAAGUGGUCCUCUGUCCUUGAUUGGCCUCCCAAAGAGUUGAGAUUAUAGGCAUGAGCCAUCAUGCCAGGCCAGACGUGUGUUGUUUUUAAGCUACCAAGUUCACAGAAAUUUGCUACUGCAGCAAUGGGAAACUAAUAGAACGGGAAAGAGACACAGAGAUGUUUUACUGAAGAAGGUAUACAGACAGAAAUAAGCCCAUGAAAAUAUGUACACUUUCUUUUUCUUUUCUUUUCUUUUUUUUUUUUUUUUGAGAUGGAGAUUCACUCUUGUUGCCCAGGCUGAAGUGCAUGAUCUCAGCUCACUGCAACCUCUGCCUCUCAGGCUCAAGCGAUUCGCCUGUCUCAGCAUCCCAGGUAGCUGGGAUUACAGGCAUGUGCCACCAUGCCCGGCUAAUUUUGUAUUUUUAGUGGACACGGGGUUUCUCCAUGUUGGUCAGUCUGGUCUUGAACUCCAGACCUCAGGUGAUCCGCCCACGUUAGCCUCCCAAAGCACUGGGAUUACAGACAUGAGCCACCGUGCCUGGCCAAAAACAUGUACAUUUUCAUUAGCCAUUAGGGAAAUGAAAAAUAAAAACCACAAUGGGAUCUCACCACACACCCAUCAGCAUGGCUAAAAUAAAAAGUAGUGACAGCAUCAAAUGCCAGUUAGAAUGUAGAGAAACCAGAUCACUCACACAUUGCUGGUGGGAAUGUAAUGGUGCAGCCAUUCUAGAAAACUUCGGGAGUUUCUUUAAAAAACUAAACGUGCAACUACCAUAUCAUCCAGAAAUUGCACCCUGGGACAUUUGUCCUAGAGAAAUGAAGACUUAUCUUAUGUUCCUACAAAAACCUGCACAUGAAUAUUUACAGCAACUUCAUUCGUAAUAGCCCAAGAACUGGAAACAACCCCCGUGUCCUUCAACAAGUCGGUAAAUGAUUAAGCAGACUGGUUCAUCCAUACCAUGAAAUACUACUCAGCCAUGAGAAGAAACAGCCUUGAUACACAAAGCAACCUGGAUAAAUCUCCAGAGAAUUAUCCGGAGUGGAAAAAGCCAAUCCCCAAAGGCUGCUACACAGUCCGUGACUGCAUUAGUUUAACAUUCUUAACAUGACAAAAUUAUAGAGAUGGAGAACAGGUUGGUGGUUGGCAGGAGUUAAGGAGGAGGAGAGGGCAUUGACAAGGGAAGGAAAUGGGUAUGUCUAUAAAAAGGCAACUUGAGGACCCCUUGUGAUGAUGGAAAUGUUCUGUUUCUUAGCUGUAUCAAUGCCAGGGUCUUGGCUGUGAUACCGUACUGCAGUUUUGCAAGAUGUUACUAUCGGGGGAAAUUAGGUAAAGUGUUCAUGGGAUCUCUGCAUUAUUUCUUACAACUGCAUAUGAAUCCACGAUGAUCUCAAAAUAAGAAGUUUAAAACCACAAAUGUGGGGAGGAGAGAGGCAGAAGUGUUUGAAAAGGCUAGAAAUUAUCAAACAACAAUUUUAAAGUUCUAUUCAUAAACAAAGUAGAACUAUUUGAUUUCCCAUUGUAAAUAGAAAAUGUGAUUUUACAUGCCCAGUACAACAUAUAUGCUUAAUAAAUAUUUGUUGGAAAGAUGGUGGUGGGGGUGGAUGGAUGGAAAGCGAAUAGCUGCAAAUCCUGUCAGCAGGCAGUGUAGGGGCAGAGAGAGGAUGAAGGAAAAAGAAAAGACAAAGAGAUAAAGAAGGAGGAGGAAGGGGGAAAAAGAGCAGAAGAAGAGAAAUAAGAAGAGAGAAAGGAGGAAAUGAAGGGGAAAAGGAGGAAGAGGAAGAAGGGGAGGAAGGGGGAGGAAGAGGAAGAGAAAGAGAAGUCAGGGGAGAUGAGAAGCAUGGUGCUUUGUGGCAUAUUGACGGUGGGCAAGGCUGUGGAUUUUUCUGAGCAGCCUUGGUGUGGAGAAAAGACCUCCCAGGGUGCAUGGCGCCCGCAGACACCCUGGCUAGGCUGCCCCUUGUUGGGUGGAACUGCUCCCUCCCUCUUUGCUGGGCACCUACUUUGUCCCCUGGUGGGUGGCUCCUGUAUGGGUGAGGUAUUCCAGCUCUCUGGGCCCUUUCCUUCUCACCCUGUAUCGGCACAGCUCCAGCACCAGGUCAUGGUCACAGACAGUCAGAAUGUGCUGAUGGAAUUUUCCUGUUGAUUUAAGCUAGUGAGACCUUGCUUGUCCUGGAAAAACUGGACAUGAGAGAGGUAGGGGGAACAGGAAUUGCUUUCCAAGAAUCUCCCUCAUAUGGGGUGCUCUGAAGGCCUCUUUUGUCAUCUCCUUCUCCUUGGGAAGGGGUUCCUGGAAAGGUGCUGGUGCAGGAGGGCACUGGUGCAGGUAGCAGCUGGUGCAGUGCUGGACUUGUGUUCCCUGGAGACAGGGCCAUGAUCUUCUCUCCCAUGUGUCAAAUCAGACAAUGGACACUGAAACACUGCGCUGGGGCCUCAGGAGGAGGAUGAGGAACAGGAUAGGGGGACACCCACCUCUCUCUGCCCAGGACGACUCAGGGGUGUGCCUCCUAGCAGCUGUGAAAACACUAAAGGAUUUACAACAUUCCCGCUUAUGUGGGAUUUGGAUUCAUUUCCACAGCUCUACCUAUGAGUAAGAGAAUCUAUUCAGCAACAUGACAUCACGGAAUGGCAAGAGUGACAGCUGCAGAGGUGCCAGAUGUUGUCCCAUCUCUGUCUCACUGUGCUCUGGCCUUCUCUGGCCUCUCCUUUCUAACCCACCAACCCUGUCUGGCUGGGAUAUAGGCCUGGUUCAUAAGUCCCCUCUGCUAUACUCCACCUUUGCCUCAGGUCUCUCAUCCCUUUGCCUUCUGCCCGCCACCCACCUGGAUUGGAAGCCCACCGUGGGGGUUGUCUCUUGGCUGCUGAGCGCUCAGCAGGGCCCCUGUGGUCAGCAAAUGGGUGAUGUGGGAGUGCAGAUGACACACCCUGGUUGGGUUCUUUCCGUGAGAAAGUGGCAUUGGGUAUUUCUAAAAUGACUGUGGUUUUCUUAAAUUUUCUAACCACAAAAAUGUUAUGAGUUUCUCACCGUGGCAGAUCAAAUAGAAAUAUGAUUCAUGCUUCACAAUUUGUGUAGCCAAUAUCAUAGAUAUUUGGUAGUUCUAUUAUGUAUCUGACAGGUACAUAUAUUUUUUUCCUCUAAGAGAUUGUUCUGUGUGAAUAGAUAGAAACUACUUAAAUACAGUAAAGUCUAUUUAUUACAGACCAAGAGCAAACAGUUUACUAAAUGGAAAAAUGCUGAAGUCAUUUCUAUUAAUUCAAGAUCAAGACAGAGUGCCCAUUGUCAUCACUAUUGAUCUACACAGCAUUGGUGGGUUUAACUAAUAACAAUAAGAUGAAAAUGAAUUGAUUGGAAUAAGCAUUGGAAAUGAAGACAGAAAUGUCUUUAUUUGCAGAUGAUUGAGAGUAUACCUAGACAACCUAUAGAUCCUAAUAAAAUAAUAUUAAAAUUAGUAAGAGAAUUUAGUAAGGUAGAUAGGUAGAUAAAUAUAUAAAUAUAAAGCUUUGGUUUAUGGUAACAAUAAACAUUUGAGAAGGGAAAUGAAAAAAAAUAGCCUAUUCAUAAUAACAGCAGGCACUCACUAUACAAUUCCUAAGGAUGCAUUUAACAAGAAAAGGUAAACUAUUUACAGAAGUAAAAUGAUACAAUCGUAUUGAAGGACAUUUUAAAAAAAACCCUCAGCAAAUGGAUAUGUACAAGCCAUGCUUCUGUAUGGAAAGAUGUAACAUCAAAAAAUACCAGUUCUUAAAAAACUAAUGUAUUAAAUUUAAGACAUUACUAUAUAAAUUUAAUGCAAUUGCAGUUAGAAUUUUACUUCUAAGAACCGGAUAAAGUAAUUUUAGAUUCUAUGUAGAUAAAAUAAUUGUAAAGUAAAUGUAAAAUAACUAUACAUUUCAAAUGUUCAGAGAAAAAUAGUGAAGAAAAUGCGAAUGCAUGGGGACCAGUUCUAGUAUAGACAAUAAAACUCAGACUCAAGCAACCAAUACCAAAACAGUAUGUUGCUGGCACCGGAUCUGGCCAAUGUAUUAAGGAAACAGACCUGAGAGCCCAGAAAUAGAUGAGUAGAGAAAUCUAAAAUAUGAUGAUGGCAUUUUCAGUCAGAGAGAAAGGGUGGUUCCAGCAAUUGUUCAGGUACAACUGUUUAUCCAACUUUAAGAAAAACAAACAGAGAUUCUACUUUAACCAUAUGUAGAAACAAAUUCUAGGUGAUUUAAAGAUUUACUUGUCAAAAUAAGACAUUAACAUAUUAGGACAGAAUUUAGGGGUCUAUUUAUAUAAUCAUAGAGGGAGGGAGCACUCUUUCCUUCCCUUCCCUUCCCUUCCCUUCCCUUCCCUUCCCUCCCUCCCUCCCUCUCUCUUUCUCUCUUUCUCUCUUUCCUUCUCUCUCUCUCUUUCUUUCCUUCUUUCUUUCUUUCUUUCUUUCUUUCUUUCUUUCUUUCUUUCUCUCUUUCUUUCUUUCCUUCUUUCUUUUUUUUUUUUUUAAAUAGAGUUUUGCUCUUGUUGCCCAGACUGGAGUACAAUGGUGUGAUCUCAGCUCAACGCAACCUCCACCUCCUGGGUUCAAGUGAUUCUCGUGCCUCAGCCUCCUGAGUAGCUUGGAUUACAGGCCUCUGCCACCACACCUGGCUAAUUUUGUAUUUUUAGUAGAGGUGGGGUUUCUCCAUGUUGGUCAGGCUGGUCUUGAACUCCCGACCUCAAGUGAUCUGCCUACCUCAAACUCCCAAAGUGCUGGGAUUACAGGCGUGAGCCACCGCGCCCAGCCAGAAGGAGCACUUUCUAAACAAGCUAGAAAUCCCAGAAGCCAUCAACAAAGGGGGAGAUAUAUGUUGACUACAUGAAAAUUAAACAUUUUAUAAGAGAAGGAUCCAUGAGCAAAAUCAAAGAGCAAACAACAGACUAGGAAAUGUAUUUCCAACACACAAUCAAUCUCUUAAACCAUUGAAAAACUAUGAAUUAAUUAUACUUUUAAAAGAUAAAUUUAAAUUGUAGCAAGAAAAUGCUAAAGGACUAUGAGCUGCUAAUUUGCAGAAGAAGCAAUCCAAGCACCCAGAAAACACAUGAAAGGAGACUCAGAGAACAGAAAUUCAACAAAUGAGGCAACAGGGCCACCUAAGGUUUUAGGGUGACCAACUUGUCCUUGUUUGCCCAGGAGUCUCCUAGUUUUGAAACUCCUUAGUCCUGGGCAAACUGAGAUGGUUGCCCUUGACAGAAGAAAGAAAAGCCUGAAUCAGGUAUUUGAACUUUGAAUGGACCAAGAGUGUACUCAAUGAGAUUGAGUUAACCCCAAAAGACUUAAACCCCAGAAAGAGACUAAGUGGACUUCAAUGAGCAGCUUUGUGUUUUCUUACCAUUAAGGGAUUAGGGGCUCCAGGAUGAGGUGGCAGCAAUUCUAGGCAGUAAAGAAAGUUACUGACAUGGCUGGAAAGUUUGUAUACAAAGGUGGUUUAGGGUCAUGUGGGGGCUGAAACCUAGCUCAUGCUCUGCUUGUCGAGCUGUGUGUCCUGGUGUGGGGCUGAGCCCGUCUGGACCAAGGGAUGCCCUUGACUCUGCACACAGGUGUGCAUGGGUUAGAGGGACCCUAGUGAUGGCCGUCCUGUCAUCUGGGCUUGGUAGAGCCCAGGCCCAAAGCAUGGUGACACUCAGAGGACACACUCCUGCAUGGUCCAAGGCAGUGUUUCAGGGAAGAAUCUGUCUGGGUGGAGGCCUGGUGGGCUGGAGGGCUUGGAGGUGUCUGUGAGGUUGCCCUGCAGGCCCUGACCUCUCAGAGAUUGUACUGAGGGAGUGCCAGUCCUCCUGGUUGUCUGACUGGCUGUGCCCCCACUGCCACCCUCUCAGCCUACAGCCUCUUGCUCUUCACUCAGCCAGCUCCACAGGAACCUUUUUACAUUCUGAGCUCAGCAGUUCUUCUUCCCCACAGCCAGGCCCCUGGCCCCCUCCUCCCUGUAGCCUUCCUUGCCUGGGCUCUGAGAACCUGCCCUGACUGCAGACUGGGGUCUUUGUUAAUCUAGAUGAGGGCCCGGGGGCUGAGCUUCAGGUCUCAGAAUGUGCUUUCUAAGGUGGCCACCUUGAGACCUCCCAUCCCAUAAGCUCUUCUUACAAUGUGUUGUUGACUUUCCUCCCAUUGAGAGGUGGGGGUGCCUUUGAAUUUGGGAGGGACUAUGUCAUACAACUAUGACAAAAGUGACUGUCUUCAUCUGUUUUCUAUUGUUAUAACAGAAUAACACAGACUUGGUGAUUUUUUUUUUUUUUGAGACAGGGUCUUGCUCUGUUGCCCAGACUGGAGUGCAGUGGUUUGAUCUCGACUCACUGCAACCUCCAUCUCCUGGGUUCAAGUGAUCCUCCCACUUUAGCCUCUGGAGUCACUGGGACUACUAUGUGCACAACACCACACCCAGCUAAUUUCUGUAUUUUUUGUAGAGAUGGGGUUUCACCGUGUUGUCCAGGCUGUUCUCAAACUCCUGGGCUCAAGUGAUGCACCCACCUCAGCAUCCCAAAGUGCUAGGAUUACAGACAUGAGCCACCACUGUGCCCACCCCAGACUGGGUGAUUUAUAAAGAAAAUAAGGGGUUUUUUUGGGCUCAUGGAGGCUGGGAAACCCAAGAGCAUGGCACUGGCAUCUGGUGAGGGCUUUCUUGCUGCAGCAUCUCGUGGUGGAAGGACAAGUGAACAUGACAGACAGAGAAUGGAGGCUAAACUUAAGCUUUUUAUCAGGAGUCUACUCCCAUGAUAACUAACCUGCUCCCACAAUAAUGGCCUGAAUGCAUUCAUUAGAAUGGUGUCCCUGUGACUUACUCACCUCUUAAAGGCUCCGUAUCUUAAUACUGUUACAGUGUCAAUUAAAUCUCAACAUGAGCUUAGUAGAGGUCAAACAUUCAAACUCCAGCAGUGACAUUAUGUGAGGCUCAUUCCUAAAAGGCAAUACAGCUUCUGCCUGGUUCUCUUGGGACACCUGCUCUUGGAAUCCAGCUACCAUGCUGUGAGGAAGCCCAAGCCUCCUGGAGAGGCCAUGUGUGGCUCUUCUGACUGAGCUGACAACCAGAUUGGUUAUGGAAACUUCUGAGAUGGCUCCAGCCCCAAUUAACCUCGAUUGUGUAAGAAACAUCUAGCUGAACCCAUUCAACCGCCAGAACUGUGAGAGGUGAUAAUAAAAAUAUUGCUCAUGUUUUAAGCCACCGUGUUUUGGGAUGAUUUGUAAACAGCAAUAGAUAAUUGGUGCCACAAUUCUGGCAGCAGAGCACUAAGACCAAAACCCUGUUAUAAGCUUCUGCUCUGAUCAUUUAACCCCUACCACUUUCCUGGGUGAUCAGCCAUUUGUUCAACUUGCAUUGGGUGAGCAUUCGCCUCAUGCCAGGCUCUGUGUCACACUGAGGGCCCAGUGAGGGGUGAACAAACAGACUUGGUGCUGGCAUUCAGAGAAGGGACAUCUGUUACUCGGGAGACCCUCAUUCCCCUUAUCUCAUGAAGUGAAGGGGAUCUGGUCCCACCUGGCUUCUUCCCUCUUCCUUUCCCUGCAGCCAGGCUGGGCCUGGAGUGUCCUAGCACAUGUCACUCUAGUGACUGAAUUCUGGACAUUAUUAUUGGCUUCCUGUGAGAACCGAAGCAGGGGCCCUUGAGGGAUAAGAUCAGAUGAACAGGUUUAAACCAAAAGGGAGACAAAGCCACCCCAAACUGAGAGGCAGGAUGGAGUACAGGGAGACGUCCAGAAAGCAGGGACCUAAUCUAGGAUGGGGAGAUUUGAAAGACAGGAAGGAGGGUCUGUGCUGGUGGUUGGCAUUGUUGGGGCGCCAAGGGGGUCACUCAGGGUGGUGUCUCUCAUGUGGCCUUUGGUUCUUUCUCCAGAGAAGCACUCAGGCGAGGAGGCUGGGUCAUGUUUCAGGGUUGUUAAAAAUACAGCAGUAACUCACUGAGUGCCGCCUUCUAUGGGGUUGGCCUGGGGAGCUGUAAAGUAUAAAGGGAAACCUCUUCCCCAGGUGCAAGGACCUGCUGCUGGCAGUUGAUGGAGCAACUGUGGGAGUGGUGAUUGGCUGCUUUGAGGAGGCCCAAGAAGUGAGCUGCCACCUCACAACUCCAGGGGCUGGGCAAGGAUGAGAGAGUCUCAGAUUCAUUGCUGGGGCUUGGAGUCUAAGGGGCAUGGAGGGAUGUAGUAGUCAGCUAGAGCUGCCAUAAUAAAGCACCAGAAACAGGAUGGCUUACACAACAGAAAUGUAUUUUCUCAUCGUUCUGCAGACCAGAAGUCCAAGAUCAAGGGGUCAGCAGGAUUGUUCCUCCUGAGGGUUAGGAGGGAGAAUCUGCUCUAGGCCUCUCUCCUGGUUUCUAGUGUUUGCCAGCAAUCUUUGCCAUUUCUUGGUUUGUAAAAGCAUCACCUGAUUUCUGCCUUGGUCUUCAGGUGAUGUUCUCCCUGUCUGCAUGUUUGUGUCUAAAUUUCCCCUUUUUAUAAGGACAUCAGUCAUAUUGGAUUAGGACUCACCCUUCUCCAGUAUUACUGCAUCUUAACUUGAUUACUUCUGUAAAGAUUUCUUCUCCAAGUGAAGUCACAUUCUGAGGUACUGGUUAGGACUCCAGUGUAUGGCUUUGAAGGGACACAAUUCACCCAUAACAUGAGACGAUAAUGUCAACCAGGCACCUAGUUCUAUAGCUGACUUCUUGAUCUCAGGUAAUGUGCUCAACAACUCUGUGAUAAAAAUACUAUACAUUUUUUUCUAAUUAUUUAUUAUAAAAUUUUAAAAACAUACAGCAGUCACUACUAAAAAUACAAAAAAUUAGCUGGGUGUGGUGGUGGGUGUCUGUAGUCCCAGCUACUCGGGAGGCUGAGGCAGGAGAAUGGCGUGAAUCUGGGAGACAGAGCUUGCAGUGAGCUGAGAUUGCACCACUGCACUCCAGCCUGGGCGACAGAGCAAGACUCUGUCUCAAAAAAAAAAAACAAAAAAAACCCAAACAUACAGCAAAGCUGAAAGAAUUUUACAGUGAGCACCCUUCCCAUAUGCCCACUAGCUACAUUCUACUAUUGACAUUUUACCUUAUUUGCCUUGUCACAUAAUCUGUCCAUCUAUUCAUCCUCAAUCCACCCAUUAAUCCACCUUAUUUUCUGGUGCAUUUCAAAGUAAAUUGCAAACAUCAAUACGUUUUUCCCUAAAGUUAGCAGUCAAUCAUUAACUAGAGUUCAAUAUUUUCUUUACAGAUUUUUCUUCUGAGGUACAAUGAAGUGCUCAAAUCUUAAGUAUACAUUUAUUGAGUUUUAAGGAAAGCAAACAGCUGUGUAAUCCAAAUGCCUAGCAAGAUAUAGAACAUUACCAUCACCAUGGAAAUUUCCCUCAUGUCCUUUCCCAAUCUCUGCCUCCACCCCUCAGAGGCAACCACCAGUCGAUUUUUCCACUGUAGCUUAGUUUUGCCUGUUCUAGAACUUCAUAAAAAGUGGAAUCAGAUGCAAUUUACUCAUUCAUUUAAGGCUUCUUCCACUGAUCGUCAUGUUGUCAAGCUUCAUCCGUGCUGAAUGAAUGUUGUAGUGUGUAUCUGUAAUUCAUUGCUCCUUAUUGCUGAGUAGUAUCUCAUUGUAUGGACGUGCCACACUUCUCCUGAUGAGCCUCUGGGCUGUUUUCAGCUCUCGGCUACUGCAAAUAAGUAUGUAUUUGCAUCUCCAUUUUAGGGAUAACGAAGUGAUGCUCAGGAAGUUUAAGUGGCUUGUUGAAGGUCAUAUGGGUCAUGAGGGGCAGAACCAAGAUUUGAACUCAGCCAGAUUGGUCAGAUGCCAGAGCCUAAAGCAUUUUCUUUUUAAUUCCUUUGUGAUAUGUUUGCUUUCCGUGGUGUGGGGUGGCCUGGGAAGUAAAGUAUACCAUGGGAUGUGUAUUUUACCUUCAUCUGACUGAUUUGCAUUAUAGUCAGGCAGUCUGCAAUUGCAAGAGUGGUUUUGAGUCCCUGCUUCACCAUUUACCAGCCGUGUGACCCUGGGCACAUGACUAAACUUGCUUCUGUCUCUGCUUCCUGAUCUGUACAAUGGGGAGAUAACAGCAUACAUAGGGUUGUUGUGAGGGUUAAAUAACGAAUUAAUAUAUGAAAGCCCAGUGACUGUGCCAGGCAUAUGGUAAGUGCCAUAUGAAUGUGAGAUAUUUGACAAUUAUCUCUUGAGCACUAUCUCCAGGCCACAUCCAUGUGCUAAGUAUACAAGGAUGACUAACGCAUUGUAUCGGGCCCACCUUGUCUGCACCUUUCAUCCUCUGGAUAGAUCCCUCUUUUCCUGUGGCCAUUGGUGAGGCCAUCAGCUUCAAGCAGGUAUACCUGUCGGCAUCUUGCCUUGUUGUUCCCUCCUCUCUAUGAGGAACUGCCAUACCCUUCUCCACCGCGGCUGCGCCACUUCACAUCCCAGCAACAGUGCACAGGGGUUCCAGUGUCUCCACAUGCUUGCCAACAUGUCUCCCUCCUUUCCUCCCUCAUUCCCUCCCUCCCUUCCUUCCUUCCUUCUUUCUUUCCUUCCUU
RNAcentral lists this long non-coding RNA (11862 nucleotides) under Homo sapiens (human). Its description in RNAcentral is "non-protein coding lnc-DISP1-8:6". The record is from RNAcentral. Lineage: Eukaryota; Metazoa; Chordata; Mammalia; Primates; Hominidae.